RNAcentral lists this ribosomal RNA (493 nucleotides) under uncultured soil bacterium. RNAcentral describes it as "bacterial SSU rRNA". It matches the Rfam family "Bacterial small subunit ribosomal RNA", at positions 26 to 522 of the family's 1533-position model. The record is from RNAcentral.
AGAUUGAACGCUGGCGGCAUGCCUUACACAUGCAAGUCGAACGGUAACAGGUUAAGCUGACGAGUGGCGAACGGGUGAGUAAUAUAUCGGAACGUGCCCAGUCGUGGGGGAUAACUGCUCGAAAGAGCAGCUAAUACCGCAUACGACCUGAGGGUGAAAGCGGGGGAUCGCAAGACCUCGCGCGAUUGGAGCGGCCGAUAUCAGAUUAGGUAGUUGGUGGGGUAAAGGCCCACCAAGCCAACGAUCUGUAGCUGGUCUGAGAGGACGACCAGCCACACUGGGACUGAGACACGGCCCAGACUCCUACGGGAGGCAGCAGUGGGGAAUUUUGGACAAUGGGCGCAAGCCUGAUCCAGCCAUGCCGCGUGCGGGAAGAAGGCCUUCGGGUUGUAAACCGCUUUUGUCAGGAAGAAAGGUUCUAGGUUAAUACCGUGGACUCAUGACGGUACCUGAAGAAUAAGCACCGGCUAACUACGUACCAGCAGCCGCGUAA